This 664-nucleotide ribosomal RNA is filed under the name Geotrichum sp. RNAcentral's name for it is "partial large subunit ribosomal RNA". It matches the Rfam family "Eukaryotic large subunit ribosomal RNA", at positions 1 to 1897 of the family's 3401-position model. Lineage: Eukaryota; Fungi; Ascomycota; Dipodascomycetes; Dipodascales; Dipodascaceae. The record is from RNAcentral.
AGUUUUUUUUUUUUCCCCAAACAGAGGGGAUUUUUCAAAUUCCCCAUUACGGAGGAAAAGAAACCAACAGGGAUUGCCUUAGUAACGGCGAGUGAAGCGGCAAAAGCUCAAAUUUGAAAUCGGCCACCAGGUCGAGUUGUAAUUUGUAGAUUGUAUCUUGAGAGCGGAUUAAAGUCUGUUGGAACACAGCGCCUUAGAGGGUGACAGCCCCGUAAAAUCUAUUCUCAUUGUAAGAUACUUUCGAAGAGUCGAGUUGUUUGGGAAUGCAGCUCUAAGUGGGAGGUAAAUUCCUUCUAAAGCUAAAUAUUGACGAGAGACCGAUAGCGAACAAGUACUGUGAAGGAAAGAUGAAAAGCACUUUGAAAAGAGAGUGAAAAAGUACGUGAAAUUGUUAAAAGGGAAGGGUAUUGAAUCAGACUUGGUGCUGUUGUUCAACUGUGUUUCGGCAUAGUGUACUCAGCAGUACUAGGCCAAGGUGGGGUGUUUGGGAGUGAAAAAGAAGUNGGAACGUAACUCUUCGGAGUGUUAUAGCCUACUUUCAUAGCUCCUCAGGCGCCUCAGGACUGCGCUUCGGCAAGGACCUUGGCAUAAUGAUUCUAUACCGCCCGUCUAAAACCCCGGGGACCAAUCUUUUCCGGGUGGCAUGAGAAAGAGGAACAAAAAA